GAGUUUGAUCCUGGCUCAGAACGAAUGCUGGCGGCGUGUUUAAGACAUGCAAGUCGCACGGAAUGAACCGAGUAGUAAUACCUGGUGAUUUUAGUGGCGCACGGGUGAGUAACACGUGAAUUACAUGCCCUUCAGUGGGGAAUAGCCCAGGGAAACUUGGAUUAAUGCCCCAUAGUCUCGCAAGAGUAAAGGUGGCCGCAAGGCUGUCGCUGAAGGAUUGGUUCGCGCCCUAUCAGCUUGUUGGUGAGGUAACGGCUCACCAAGGCUACGACGGGUACCUGGUCUGAGAGGACGAUCAGGCACACUGGAACUGAGACACGGUCCAGACACCUACGGGUGGCAGCAGUCGAGAAUAAUUCACAAUGGACGAAAGUCUGAUGGUGCAACGCCGCGUGGAGGAUGACGGUCUUAGGAUUGUAAACUCCUGUCAUCCGGGAGAAAGACUUGGGAGUUAAUAGCUCACAGGGUUGAUAGUACCGGAAGAGGAAGGGACGGCUAACUUCGUGCCAGCAGCCGCGGUAAUACGAAGGUCCCAAGCGUUGUUCGGAAUCACUGGGCGUAAAGGGAGCGUAGGCGGCGCGGUAAGUCGGAUGUGAAAUCCCGAGGCUCAACCUCGGAACUGCAUCUGAUACUGCCGUGCUAGAGUAAUGGAGGGGUAGCUGGAAUUCUCGGUGUAGCAGUGAAAUGCGUAGAUAUCGAGAGGAACACUCGUGGCGAAAGCGAGCUACUGGACAUUUACUGACGCUGAGGCUCGAAGGCUAGGUAGCAGUAAACGGUGCACGCUUGGUGUGAGGGGAUUCGACCCCCCUUGUGCCGGAGCUAACGCGUUAAGCGUGCCGCCUGGGAAGUACGGUCGCAAGACUAAAACUCAAAGAAAUUGACGGGGACCCGCACAAGCGGUGGAGUAUGUGGCUUAAUUCGAUGCAACGCGAAGAACCUUACCUAGGCUUGACAUGCAUCUCUAAGCACGUGAAAGCGUGUGACCCUUCGGGGGAUUUGCACAGGUGCUGCAUGGCCGUCGUCAGCUCGUGUCGUGAGAUGUUGGGUUAAGUCCCGCAACGAGCGCAACCCUUGUGAUUAGUUGCCAGCACGUAAUGGUGGGAACUCUAGUCAGACUGCCCAGAUCAACUGGGAGGAAGGUGGGGACGACGUCAGGUCAGUAUGGCCCUUACGCCUAGGGCUGCACACGUACUACAAUGCUCAGUACAAUUAGAACCGAUACCGCGAGGUGGAGGAAAUCUGUAAAACUGGGCUCAGUUCGGAUUGGAGGCUGCAACUCGCCUCCAUGAAGUUGGAAUCGCUAGUAAUGGGGCAUCAUCUACGGCCCCGUGAAUACGUUCCCGGGUCUUGUACACACCGCCCGUCACAUCAUGGAAGCCGGUAGCACCCGAAGUAUUGUUCAAUCAAUCCUAAGGUGAAGCUGGUAACUGGGAUGAAGUCGUAACAAGGUAGCCGUAGGGGAACCUGCGGCUGGAUAACCUCCUUUCU
This 1488-nucleotide ribosomal RNA is filed under the name uncultured organism. Its description in RNAcentral is "bacterial SSU rRNA". It matches the Rfam family "Bacterial small subunit ribosomal RNA". The record is from RNAcentral.